Long non-coding RNA from Phyllostomus hastatus (greater spear-nosed bat), 1207 nucleotides. RefSeq lists it as uncharacterized. The record is from RefSeq and is a predicted model, not a curated record. The transcript is spliced from 3 exons. Lineage: Eukaryota; Metazoa; Chordata; Mammalia; Chiroptera; Phyllostomidae.
GUGAGCAGAGCCCCUCACCCCCGACGACAGACUACGCACCGCAAGAUUCUGCACCCCGUAAACCACGAAGCACACUGCCGUCGCCUUUCCCCGAGCCCCGUGUAUGCCAAGGGCACAGUGGGACGCGCUGACACAGGCGGCAGCCGUGGGCCCCUGCAAAGGCCGUGGACCGUUCCGUGUGUCCCGCGACCCCACUACUGACUUCCCCGGAGGAAAGUCGGCACGGUCGGGUCCAGAGGAAAAGUCCAGGGUUGGGCUCCGGGGGCUUUCCCCACGGGGACCCGCGCCACGUUGCAGUGUGGCUGCCGUUCGGGCUGGAAAACUGCGCAUGUGAGCCACAGUCUUUCCACAGGUAAGCGAGGGCUCUGUGGCCGUGUGCGGUCGGAGUUCCUGACUGAGGGGCGUCUUCCUCCCGGCAUCUUCGCAGAUGCAUCGUGGCCCCGAGCGGACGCGUGAAUCGCUUGUUCAGAAGGACCGAGACCUCGGAGGGCGCUCUGAGCUCUGCUGUCAAAGGCUGUUUCCUGCGCGCAAGUGUAACGUCAGGACCACAGGUCACUGCUCGGGGCUCUUCUGAGGCGGGCGCAUGAAGACGCUACGCCGUGACGCUCCCGCAGGUGGUGACGGCAGGAGCCCUCCUAAACGACGGGAAGGACGCCGGGAAGGGACCCACCUGUCCGCUCCGAGUCAGUGCCCCGCUUCCGUCCCUGCCCAGCCUCCCCUGGUAACGGCCGUCGGUUUGUGUAUCGGAGCGCGCUCGCAGGGGAAACUGGCUGUCCGUGCGGAAGAACCAGACGGCCUCCCUCACGCACAGUGUGCUCACGGCCGCCUUCUCUACGGAAGGGGAGGGGGACUGGCCUCCCAGGGCCCCUCGACACAGUGUGACCCCCCAGCCCGUGCUGUCCGCUGUCCUACGUCAUCGUCUGCCCAGUGGGCUUGCUCCCCCACGACAUCUCAGCACGUCCAGAGCAGGGGUCCUCCGUGAGCACGUACCCAGGUCUGGUGCCUGAGCCCCCGCCCUCCCCCGGGGACACGUACCCAGGUCCAGGUGGAGGACGCGGACGCAGAGAUCAGGGACGGGCCUCGCAGGCCUCAUCCCCGGGGCCAGCGCGUUGGGCACUGCCCACAUGUGCAACCACGGACUGGGGUUCUGUUUUUCAUCCCUACUGAAGGCCCCAGGAUGGACAUAAAACUGAGUGACUGCCUGGAG